RNAcentral lists this ribosomal RNA (788 nucleotides) under uncultured bacterium. RNAcentral describes it as "bacterial SSU rRNA". It matches the Rfam family "Bacterial small subunit ribosomal RNA", at positions 8 to 796 of the family's 1533-position model. The record is from RNAcentral.
AGAGUUUGAUCCUGGCUCAGGAUGAACGCUAGCGGGAGGCCUAACACAUGCAAGCCGAGUGGUAUAGUUCCUUCGGGAACUAGAGAGCGGCGUACGGGUGCGUAACACGUGUGCAACCUACCUUUAUCUGGGGGAUAGCCUUUCGAAAGGAAGAUUAAUACCCCAUAAUAUAAUGAUUGGCAUCAAUUAUUAUUGAAAACUCCGGUGGAUAGAGAUGGGCACGCGCAAGAUUAGAUAGUUGGUGAGGUAACGGCUCACCAAGUCAAUGAUCUUUAGGGGGCCUGAGAGGGUGAUCCCCCACACUGGUACUGAGACACGGACCAGACUCCUACGGGAGGCAGCAGUGAGGAAUAUUGGACAAUGGGUGAAAGCCUGAUCCAGCCAUCCCGCGUGAAGGAAGACGGCCCUACGGGUUGUAAACUUCUUUUGUAUAGGAAUAAACCUAGAUACGUGUAUCUAGCUGAAGGUACUAUACGAAUAAGCACCGGCUAACUCCGUGCCAGCAGCCGCGGUAAUACGGAGGGUGCAAGCGUUAUCCGGAUUUAUUGGGUUUAAAGGGUCCGUAGGCGGACCUGUAAGUCAGUGGUGAAAUCUCAUAGCUUAACUAUGAAACUGCCAUUGAUACUGCAGGUCUUGAGUGAAUUUGAGGUAGCUGGAAUAAGUAGUGUAGCGGUGAAAUGCAUAGAUAUUACUUAGAACACCAAUUGCGAAGGCAGGUUACCAAGAUUCAACUGACGCUGAGGGACGAAAGCGUGGGGAGCGAACAGGAUUAGAUACCCUGGUAGUCC